This 88-nucleotide transfer RNA is filed under the name Phocaeicola vulgatus. Its description in RNAcentral is "Bacteroides vulgatus tRNA-Ser". It matches the Rfam family "tRNA". Rfam says of the family: Transfer RNA (tRNA) molecules are approximately 80 nucleotides in length. Lineage: Bacteria; Pseudomonadati; Bacteroidota; Bacteroidia; Bacteroidales; Bacteroidaceae. The record is from RNAcentral.
GGAGAGGUGGCAGAGUGGUCGAUUGCGGCGGUCUUGAAAACCGUUGUACCGCGAGGUCCCCGGGGUUCGAAUCCCUGUCUCUCCGCAA